Long non-coding RNA from Acanthochromis polyacanthus (spiny chromis), 6816 nucleotides. RefSeq lists it as uncharacterized. The record is from RefSeq and is a predicted model, not a curated record. The transcript has 2 exons. Lineage: Eukaryota; Metazoa; Chordata; Actinopteri; Pomacentridae.
UUGCUGCUCUCUGUCCCUCCAAGUUUCUACACUGCUCACCUCUUGUAUGAUAUUAUCAGUAAUAAAGAGCUUGAGGAAGUAAUACAAAUAUUACAAUUUCUUUAAAAGUAUAAAAAGGAGUGAUAUCAAAAACAUGUUUUUUGCGGAGUAGCUGGAAUGAUAAAAACUUUUCACUCACAAAUAUUGCGAGAAAACAACCUCACCGGGUCAUUUUUGACCCACUUAUGCAUCUGAUGGUUAAAUAUACUACAGUCAUUGUUCAUACAACAAAAAAAUACUCUUGAAUUCUGAGGGGAUCAGGUGGGAACUUUUUUCAGAUUUGGUUGAUUUUAUAUUGGAAUGAUCUGUUCUCAUUACCAGAUAACAUUCUAAUCUACUUUGGCUCCUAGUUUCUUUUUCUAAGUGUUCUAUAUAGGUUUCAGUUCACCACUUUAAAUUUAGUUUAGAACUGCCAGGUAAUAAAAUCUAAUUUACAGACUGAACCUUUACAACUGUAAAACAAAGAAAAAGUUUUCAUUUCAGUUGUGGACAGUUAGAAUAGUUCUGAUUCUCUGUUAUAAUGAUCCAAGGCUUAAUCUGAGUUUGUUUUGGCUUUUUCAUUUUAUGAUAUGAGCGUGGGACCACAAUUAGGCGAACAGCAAACCUCAGAUUUUUGUGCACAAUGCUGCGAAAAGUGAGUCAAGGCAGUUGGGGAUGACUGUGACUGCCAGGCACAACCACUAAUCAGUGCUAGGCGGUCCGUCCUGCAGAUGAGAAGUGGGCUGCUUGUGGCUCCAGAGCCGCAUGAUGGGCUACUUGUCUUUUAUUCCCUCCAUCUCUGCCUGUUAAUGCCCAAUUAUGCGUGACUGCGUGGGUGAAUUUACAGUUUGCUGUAACCUCCUCCAAAACAAAGUUACUCAGCAGAAUACUGAAUCAGAGAGAUGCAGCAGCAGCAGUGCAUCUUUGAGUCAGAAGCUCAAAAGGAAAUACAGUCUUCUUCUUUUUUUCUGAUUCAGCAUAUGUUUCCAGGCUGGGUGCAAGAUUAUGUGAGAUGUUUGCUGAUGUGUAAUAUUAGUUCUAUAGCCGAACUGGUUUAUCUUGUUUCUUGGAGGAGGAUGUGUGUUUUCACAGAUAAAUUCACUCCUGUGAUUCUUAUGCCUCUCUGUUAUUGUAGAAGCUUAUUGAUUACCAGUUGCAGAGGUUGGAUACAAGAACUCAGGGCUUCACAUUGCAGCAGAUUGUGGAUCCGCUUCUGCUCCAACACACACAUCUAUCGCUAUGACAACACAUACACAUGGAUAGUUUCAGGUGUUAAUCGGCUUCCCAGAUAGAAAUGGUGUGAUAUACUAAUAAGGCAGGCGCGUCACAGAGCCAAUCAGAUAACCAGCAUGCACAUAAAUUCACACAUUCCUGUGGUACAUUCACCGGAACAGUGAACCUCUAAUUCGAUUAGUCAUUCCUAAUUACAGCUAAUUUCAUGAUUCUUAGCUUUCAAAAUGAAUGGCAUGACACCGAAAAAUCAAAAACUAAUUUUGAAAACAUCCUAAAGAAAUGUACAGCUUCUGUUUUUUCGUAUUUCUCUCCUCUGUGUUGGAAUUUUUAUUGAUCUCUCACUGCACUAUUAGGGUUUGAAGGCAAUGGGUCAUCAAACAGCAGGAGAGAUAAGUUGGCUUUUCCCUUUUGGAGGAAAUAGAGCUGAAAUUGCUCUUUUGAACUCUGGUCUGACUGCAGAUCUUCUGCUGCUGCCUUCACACAGUUGCACGUCGGCCAGCAGCAAACCAUCAAACCCAGCUGUCUGCCAAAAUGCUCACCCUGAAGGAUCCUUCCUACCUUUACAUGCAUUCACAGCACACACGUAUCGAGUGCUGGGCUAAUUAAUUUAAGUGUUCUGUUCUGCCUAAGGAGUUGAUCAGUGUUGACUAAUUCAAAAUCCAUCUUCUCCUCAAGGUCCUCUUUGAGCAAGGUUUAGCAGAAAACAUUCCCUCAUUGUCCCUGAAAGUAUUCAAAGCUUUUGGUCGGUUCUAUUGUGCUGUUCAUUUUAUUCAGAAUGCUUAGAAUUUAUUGAGAAGUCUGGGUGUAAUGCAAGAGACUGUGGCUCUGUCAAAUAGAAAAAAAAUGUCUAUGUAACAGACCUAUUGCUGUUUCCAACCUGUUCUCAUUUUUAGGGCCUCAAGUACUUCUGUUUUUCCAGUUUAAAAGAUAAAGGUGAUAUAAUGGUAUCACAGGGGCAUUUCUAGCUAUUGCUUCCUAACAUUGGGCAAUUGAGAAGCGCACGACCCGCCAGUGUCACGCCAGAUGAUACAGAGACUUCACCACCCUACAGACACUGGCUGCACCUGAUUGGCCGAACGCUUGACUUGGAAGCUGCUUGCUCCUGAUUUAAGACAAAACCAACAUGGCAACUCACUAGAAAACCUUCUCUUAUUACAAAAACAGUUCAGUAAAAUGUGCCUCUGAAAACCUUUUGAGCCAAGUUUUUUUGGAAGGUUCCACAGACGGCAGAUGACCUAUGAUACUCCUCAUUUGCAUAAGGUAGCCUCAAUCUCAACCUAAUGCAAAUGAGAAGCAGGUAAAAUGAUGCCCCAUCUCUUGAAACACAAUAUAUACAGACAAUGAAUGGGAAGUGUUGAAGUGACAGAUCCUGUGGACAUGUAGCAGAAGACUGAGGCUUGUGCCCCAUGCUGGAGUAUUAUUUCUUUAGUUGUGUUUUACGUUGUGAAUUAAUUAAGUCUCUUUUUCACAUGGUUAAGAUUAAGCAUCAACAUCAAAAAUAAAUGUUAUAAAGUAAACUUGUUGCUACCUGAACAGGAGCGACAAUGGCAAUAUAAACAGAAAAUUUAGUUCUGGAUUCCUUGUGCUUAUUUCUAAUGCUUACAGAUUAUUAUAGGUCUAUUAAAUCACCGUGCACAUUGAAAAAUUACACUGAAGGGUUUUUAGUGUGUUAAAGUUUAACACCAAGGGAUCCUGACAAAGCUGCAGUGUGUGACAAGAACAGGCUCAUAUCGCUGAAGAAGUCUGCCGGUGCAUUCAUACUAGCAAUGAAAACUGUACGUCCCACCAGCUCUAUUGCUGAUGUAAUUCUUAUGGGUGCUUAGCAAUAAUGGUACUUUGUUUUGAACUGUCAACUUGAAUCAAUACAGUGGGUGGAGCUAUUCACGGCACCCAUGGUUUCAGAAGUCAAAAUCACAAAACCAGCACAGUGUUACAGUCCGACUGCUCCUCCCUUCUGCUGUUUUUUCCUCUUCCCUCAUGUCUCCUGUUUGUGCUCCCUUCUCAUUUCUCACUUUGUACGCUGUUGAUUCUUUUACUUCACCUCCCCUUCUCGUGUCUUUGUUCCACCUACCAAUGGAUGCAAGAGGAAGAGGCAAGGAAAAAUGUGAGGAGAGACAAGUUAAAGUUACAGUCCUUUAACAAAAGGAGAUAUCCUUGUUGUGUUGAGCGGUCGUUUUAAAGCGAUGUCAGUAAAAUACGGCAUGUGCCCAGCAUACAUUUAUUUUUUGUUCAUUUCAGAACAUGGCAGAAUUUGAUAAGAAAGUACGGAGGUCAUGCAUUUAAGUUUUUUAUUCAGGAGUACUCUACAAAUAAAAGUAUCUCUGUAGGUGUCUCAGGAUCUGGAGGUACACUUCUCUGAUCUGCAGAUAGUGGCUUCAUCAACUUCACCAAUAUGUUUGUCGGUUCUCCAUUUGCUAUCCUGUUGUCUUUCUCUUUUACCCUCCCCCUGAUUGGUUGAGGUAGAUGUCUGCCCUCCCUGAGCCUGGUCCUGUGAGGUUUUUUCCUUUCCUGGUAACGGCAAGUUUUUUAACUCCCCAUCUUUGCCAAGUUCUUACUCCAGGAAAUAUUGGGUUUAUUGUGUUUUUCCAUAUAAAUUUCACAAGAUCUUCACGUUACGUUAAAUGCAAUUGUGGCAGGACGGCCCAGUCCGUCUCCACAGGUGUAUUAGAUCAGGUGUGCGCAGCUGGGAGUCAUUAUCCUGAUGCACCUGGCAUACGGGGCGGUGCUACACUGCAGUAUAUUUGAGAGAGGGUUGCACAUUUUCCACAUGCGUCCUCUACCUGGAGCUGGGGUGUUCACUCAGCCGCGUGGUUUUGCCGUGGCAGUCUCGAGAUGCUGGCGGAGUAUUUCUCUACCUACCUGUCAGAAUUUGGCUGGUACCUUGGCCGAAGGCUGGGAGCCGGGUAUGUGUGUGGCCUCGGAGCUGGGCAUAACCUAUGCAUCGCAUUGGAUUUUUGAGUGAUUGUGCGGCUGUUUCCCCUGAUGCCUGAGGAGCUGCAGUUUUAUUGACCAGCCGCUCCACGUCUGAAGCAAGCUGCUGCUGUUCUGUCUCCAUGUUCUGCCUCCACGAUCUGUUCAGUGCGCCAAGUUCUCUUCCCAUUGGGAAUUGCUGCAUUGGUCAUACUGUAUGGUUGUAAGGAUAAUCUAGGUGUGCGUGUGCCCAUCGCCUGGCACGCCCGUUGAUUUUACUGAUCUGUUUAUUAUUCUCUCUUUUUGUGAUUUGUAUCUUUAUUUUUUCAAUUAUUUCUUUACGUUUGGUAUGAUUGUUUCUUUUGUUUUUGAUUGGUUUGGGUGAGCAGGUGGCCUGAUUAGCUUUGGUGGUGACCUCCAGGGUUCAGUAUAAGAGUGUGGUGUCCGAUCUCUGUUCCUGUGGCUAACCAUAUUUCUUUUUCUGUGGACAGGAGCUGUUGGGCUGUAUGACGAGUGGCUGGCUGAUUUCCCCCUGAGGUGGUGGUCCCCUCACUCUCUGUACAGUAGAGCACUUGGGUGUCCAUUAGUGGUUUUGGGUUUUUUUUUUUGCACACGUGAUGCGUUUCAUCCGGACCCUCUCCCUCCCUCUUCAGUCAGUCAUUCCAAUCUGGUCAGCUACUUGCUCUGCUCACCUACCCAUCAGCCUCGUCUUGCUCUCCACUCGGCCACUUUGAUCCCCUGCCAGAGAGUCAACUAUCUCCAACAAUACCACUCUCAGUUCACCACUCCACUCAACCUGCACAGUCGCCGCCACUCUGCCAACUACAUCACCUGCCAACUACAUCAGCUGCCAGUAUCUCCCUCUCUGGACACUACCUGGACAGUUACCGAGCACAGUGUCCUCUACCUGCUGUUUGCCAUUCCAUCACUUUUCAGCUACAGUUCUUCCCUGUAAGGAAUCAUGGCUCCUAUGAAUCUCAAUCAUCUUUCCUCUUCACCAUUGCCAUCUCUAAAACUAUUGUUGAACUGUUGCCACUGUGCUUGAAUCUGCUUCUGGGUCCAAACAAAGGAAAUUUUAUACCGUAAUACAUAGACUUAACUGACAUCAUCUGUAUAAAAGGAAAAAGUGGACACGCCACCAUGGCAGCACAUAGUACUUAGAAACUAGAUCACAAGUUGACAGGAAAAAAGAAGAAAGCCGAACAUCCAGCAUGUUUUUGACAGUCACUCCAUUUUGUGAGAUUACACUGUUUAUACAUUAAAAAACUACUGAUGGUCUGAAAAUCACCGUACAUUUGACUAAAAAUAAAAACUCAAAUACAAAUAUUCAAUGAAACGUCACAGUGAAAAGCAACCAGAUGAUGUCAGUUACAACUAAACUUUCCAGCAGAUUUCUUCUCUGCAAAAGAAGUCUAGUUAAUCGAACCAUCUAAUUUGAAUGUGGCCUCAUCACUCCACACAAUCUUUGUGGGAAAGUGUGCAUGUUCGGUACAUCGUUCCAAUUACCACUCGCAAUACUGUACUCUUCGGUCUGGAUCAUCGUCAUUAAGAGCAUGGACUAAUCUUGGAAUGUAACUUCUCCAUUGACAACGUUUCAUGAUGCGAUGGACAGAUGAUUUUGAAAUGCCUACGUCACGACUAGCUUGCCACACAGACUUUCUUGGACCUCUUUUUAUGGGGAUACCUAAAAGACAAAGUCUACGCAAUGAGACCUGCAACAGUCACUGAAUUGAGAGCAACCAUUGAACGUGAAUGCACGCAAAUACCAAGGGAAUUGUUUCAUGAUGUGUGCUAUUCCAUUGCUUCGCGUUGUCAGCAGUGUCUGGACCAGAACGGACAUCGGUUUGAGAACAGGCGGUGACAAAACAAUAGAAUGAUAUUCUUUUACAUGUUGAAAAUCAAAUGAAUUAUAAUAUAAAUCUAGUUUACAAUUAUUUAAAGUGUGUAUACAUUUUUUUUGGGACACCCUGUGUAUACUGCCAGGCAUGCACACUACGGAUCUUGCGGGGUAGACGCUGCACGAACACAAUUUUGGACUCCAUGCGAAUAAAGUAGUUGAGUGGUCAACCAAUAUAACAACACUGCUGUAUAUCUUUAUAGCCACAUUGAUAAUAACGGCUACCAGGCGGGGUAUCAAAACUCUUGAUUUUUACGCUGAAAGUCAAAUCCAAACCAUCUCUGUGUGAAAUCUGUAAAUUGUCUCUUUCAGGUCUCCCACCAGUAUGGAAUUUUCAUGGCUUAAUGCUGUCAAAUUAAUGGUUGUAUCUAAAUGUGCAAAAAGUGAAAUGAGGUUGUUGUUAGUGCAAUAAAAGAAGCUGGAUUUUCAAAAGAAAAGCCACUACACUUUACAGUCAUCACAAUCUGAGCUUGAUUGCAUGAGAUGGUGGCUGUGGUAUUUCCCAGGAUACACCGCGAGAAAGGAAGGCACCUUUCAUGAGUCAUCAGUCUGUCACAAGGCCUGUAGAGAAGUCACCACAAUCAAACUUGACUGCAAUUUAAUUUUUGUGCUGUGGGCAGAGUGCAGAUUUUCUCACACGUAUACACUGAUGCAUGAGGGAACAGCCUGAAUAAAGCUUUUGUUCUGACAUCAUGACUUGAUAUAUAUGCAUGUUCCAUAUGCACAUUAUUGGUCAUAUAUUAAAGUCUAACAAUGCU